UACGGGGGGGGCAAGCGUUGUUCGGAUUCAUUGGGCGUAAAGGGUGCGUAGGCGGCGCGGUAAGUCGGGUGUGAAAUCUCGGAGCUUAACUCCGAAAUUGCAUUCGAUACUGCCGUGCUUGAGGACUGGAGAGGAGACUGGAAUUUACGGUGUAGCAGUGAAAUGCGUAGAGAUCGUAAGGAAGACCAGUGGCGAAGGCGGGUCUCUGGACAGUUCCUGACACUGAGGCACGAAGGCCAGGGGAGCAAACGGG
RNAcentral lists this ribosomal RNA (253 nucleotides) under uncultured bacterium. RNAcentral describes it as "partial 16S ribosomal RNA". It matches the Rfam family "Bacterial small subunit ribosomal RNA", at positions 524 to 776 of the family's 1533-position model. The record is from RNAcentral.